RNAcentral lists this ribosomal RNA (497 nucleotides) under uncultured bacterium. RNAcentral describes it as "partial 16S ribosomal RNA". It matches the Rfam family "Bacterial small subunit ribosomal RNA", at positions 28 to 507 of the family's 1533-position model. The record is from RNAcentral.
GAUGAACGCUGGCGGCGUGCCUAAUACAUGCAAGUCGAGCGAACGGACGAGGAGCUUGCUUCUCUGACGUUAGCGGCGGACGGGUGAGUAACACGUGGAUAACCUACCUAUAAGACUGGGAUAACUUCGGGAAACCGGAGCUAAUACCGGAUAAUAUUUUGAACCGCAUGGUUCAAUAGUGAAAGACGGUCUUGCUGUCACUUAUAGAUGGAUCCGCGCUGCAUUAGCUAGUUGGUAAGGUAACGGCUUACCAAGGCAACGAUGCGUAGCCGACCUGAGAGGGUGAUCGGCCACACUGGAACUGAGACACGGUCCAGACUCCUACGGGAGGCAGCAGUAGGGAAUCUUCCGCAAUGGGCGAAAGCUUGACGGAGCAACGCCGCGUGAGUGAUGAAGGUCUUCGGAUCGUAAAACUCUGUUAUUAGGGAAGAACAAAUGUGUAAGUAACUGUGCACGUCUUGACGGUACCUAAUCAGAAAGCCACGGCUAACUACGUG